Small nuclear RNA from Scleropages formosus (Asian bonytongue), 198 nucleotides. It matches the Rfam family "U2 spliceosomal RNA". Rfam says of the family: U2 is a small nuclear RNA (snRNA) component of the spliceosome (involved in pre-mRNA splicing). Lineage: Eukaryota; Metazoa; Chordata; Actinopteri; Osteoglossiformes; Osteoglossidae. The record is from Rfam.
AUUCUUUUUAACACACUUUAUUUAAUUGCACANAAAAAAAAAAAACCUGUUCUUCUCACUUUAAUAUCUGAUACAUCCCCCAUUGGGAGACCGCGUAUUAAACUGAUUUUUGGAACGGGGAAGGAGAUGCUGAGCUCGCUCCGGCCGCUCCACACAUUAGCCCAGUAUCGCAGUGCCUCCAGGAACAGUGCCUGGUAC